Molecule: long non-coding RNA, 1040 nt
Organism: Hypanus sabinus (Atlantic stingray)
Lineage: Eukaryota; Metazoa; Chordata; Chondrichthyes; Myliobatiformes; Dasyatidae
Exons: 3
Source: RefSeq, a predicted model, not a curated record
AGAUGAUACAGCUGACAUCUUUUUCCCAGGGUUGAAAUGUUUAUUACUAGAGGCCAUGCAUUUAUGGGCCCAUUGCCAGGACUCACACUGCCUUGUCAAUGCUACUCUACUCCCUUUGGCGUUCCUCUGGGCGGGAAGUGGAGAGUCAAGCUCACUGACCAUUGGCAUCGAGGAGUCCUGCAGUGAGUUACUGCAUGAGAAGAAAGCAUGAUGUAUGUGGGGUGCCCUGAUGAUGUAUGAUGCUUUCCUUUGACAAUGCACCAUGUAGAUGUGUUCGAUGUUGGGGGAGCUUUACUUGUGUUGGUCUGCGCUGUAUCCAUUGAAUUUUGGAGGAUUUUCCGUUCAAGGGCAUUGUUGUUUGGACACCAGACUGUGAUACAGCAAUCAACGUACUCUCCACUACAUACAUAUCUAUAAAAGUUGAUCAAACUUUUCGAUGUCAUGCUGAACUUUAGCAAACUCCUAAAGAAGUGGAGGUGCUGCCGUGCUUUCUUUGGAAUUGCACUUAUGUGCUGGGCCCAGGACAGGUCAUCUGAAAUGAUAAGACUGAGGAAUUUAAAGUUGCUGACACCCUCCACCUCAGAUCUCCCAAUAAGGACUGUCUCAUGGAUGUCUAGUUUCCGUCUCCUGAUGUCAAUAAUAAUCAGCUCCUUGGUCUUACUGCCAUCGAGUAAGGAAUCGUUGUCGUGGCAUCACUCAGCCAGAUUUUCAAUCUUUUGCAUUGCUUUCGACCUUACUGUUCUGAUUUUGUUCUUCCUUGCAAAAUUUUGUAUAAUUUUUGGUUAAUUUCUGUUUUUUUUUCAUAAAUGCGGCUUAUCUGAUGUUCUGUGCCCAUGAUGUAGAUGCAAGAAAAUUUAUCAUCGCACCUAUCAAUACACGUUCUUGUGCAUAUACCAAUAAAGUUGAUCUUGACUUUGAAUACUUUAAUUAAAGUCUUCUUGGUUACCAAGAAAACAACCAGUCUGUCGAAUCUUUUCUCAUAGCUCCAGCUUUCCAGUCUUAUCAAUUUUUUUUUUUGAAGUUGGAAAUGUUAUGCAACA